RNAcentral lists this unclassified non-coding RNA (250 nucleotides) under plant metagenome. RNAcentral describes it as "partial contains small subunit ribosomal RNA, internal transcribed spacer 1, and 5.8S ribosomal RNA". The record is from RNAcentral.
GUAGGUGAACCUGCGGAAGGAUCAUUAACACGUGAUACUCACGUAUUAACCAAACGCGAAAUGUUGUUAAGCCUGUUAUUGGAUAUGAGCCGACUGUUAGGGAAUGGUGUGAUUAGGGUCUAACUAACGGUCUUAGCGUACUCGAUACGCGGUUCAUUCCAGUAAUAGUAGAUGAAUUUCGGCUGCUUAUUAAGCCUGCACCUUGGCUUGCAGUCGAAGUGACCUUAUUACCUACCCAUUAUUUAUACUU